This 105-nucleotide non-coding RNA is filed under the name Marinobacter nauticus VT8. RNAcentral's name for it is "traJ-II RNA". It matches the Rfam family "traJ-II RNA". The record is from RNAcentral. Lineage: Bacteria; Pseudomonadati; Pseudomonadota; Gammaproteobacteria; Pseudomonadales; Marinobacteraceae.
GGGCAGGAUAGGUGAAGUUAGCUAACCGGCGGAGCCGAUUAACUAUCUUCACUUCCCCUUAUUCGCCCCGGAGGCGCUCAACGGGUAAUCCUGCUCUGCGAGGCU